UAUUGUGAACAUAACAUUUUCAACUCAUAAAUUCAAUAUAAUAAAUUUCGCUAAAUAUAUCAGUAUGUAUAACAACAAGUCUCUCGUGUUUUUCAUCAUCUUCAAUCACUCAACGAUUCGUGUAUUACUCUGCACCCCUCGAAAAGGCGGCAAAGUGCAGCGCGAAGUACAUCUCGCAAGGCGAAAGCAGGCGAAAGGCACGUAGGGUGAGAGUUGAGGUACAUAUACUUAACUAGAAGCAUAAUUACAAGCAUGACGGAAGUGAUAAGUGUGAGAGUAAAUUGCGUCUCGAACAGUGACACUGCGACACAGAACGACUCGAGUCUCGUCGCGAUGAUACCGUCAAGGUCGCCGCCACCGCAAGUAAACAACGCGAGUCAGGUUAUGGUUGUAGAGCGCUGAAUUUCAGAUACGCUUCCACAUUUUGUACAAAUUUGGGCGGUUCAUCACACCUGGAGACCGGAAACGACUCACGUAGUACGUCACGUAACGGCGUGCCGUUAUUGCAGCUAUCUUCUCUCGCUCCUUUUCGCCAGGCUGCAGGCACGAGACGAAUCGACUCCGCAUUGAACGAUGUUUGAUACGUUUAAUUAGAAAGUAUACGGAAAGCGCAGUUCGGAGCAACAGGUAUAUAGCAUCGCCAAGGCGAUUGUGACCUUAAAAUUAGCAGCGUCAAUUAAUUUAUCUAUUCCUCUUAAAAGACAGGCAACAGCAGAACAGCACAAGACUGAGAUAAGGAGGAAACUCAGAAAGACGUCAGCUGAAAAUGGAGCAAUUCAUGAAACAGAGAGGAGGAGAAGGCCCGGAGAAGCAUCAGGCGAUAGCGGAGCAACCCAU
Non-coding RNA from Nylanderia fulva, 837 nucleotides. The record is from RefSeq and is a predicted model, not a curated record. Lineage: Eukaryota; Metazoa; Arthropoda; Insecta; Hymenoptera; Formicidae.